GACGAACGCUGGCGGCGUGCCUAAUACAUGCAAGUUGAGCGAUGAAGAUUGGUGCUUGCACCAAUUUGAAGAGCAGCGAACGGGUGAGUAACGCGUGGGGAAUCUGCCUUUGAGCGGGGGACAACAUUUGGAAACGAAUGCUAAUACCGCAUAACAACUUUAAACAUAAGUUUUAAGUUUGAAAGAUGCAAUUGCAUCACUCAAAGAUGAUCCCGCGUUGUAUUAGCUAGUUGGUGAGGUAAAGGCUCACCAAGGCGAUGAUACAUAGCCGACCUGAGAGGGUGAUCGGCCACAUUGGGACUGAGACACGGCCCAAACUCCUACGGGAGGCAGCAGUAGGGAAUCUUCGGCAAUGGACGAAAGUCUGACCGAGUAACGCCGCGUGAGUGAAGAAGGUUUUCGGAUCGUAAAACUCUGUUGGUAGAGAAGAACGUUGGUGAGAGUGGAAAGCUCAUCAAGUGACGGUAACUACCCAGAAAGGGACGGCUAACUACGUG
RNAcentral lists this ribosomal RNA (497 nucleotides) under uncultured bacterium. Its description in RNAcentral is "partial 16S ribosomal RNA". It matches the Rfam family "Bacterial small subunit ribosomal RNA", at positions 28 to 507 of the family's 1533-position model. The record is from RNAcentral.